AUUGAACGCUGGCGGCAUGCCUUACACAUGCAAGUCGAACGGUAACGCGGGGCAACCUGGCGACGAGUGGCGAACGGGUGAGUAAAGUAUCGGAACGUGCCCAAUAGUGGGGGAUAGCCCGGCGAAAGCCGGAUUAAUACCGCAUGAGACCUGAGGGUGAAAGCGGGGGACUCGCAAGAGCCUCGCGCUGUUGGAGCGGCCGAUAUCAGAUUAGGUAGUUGGUGGGGUAAAGGCCUACCAAGCCGACGAUCUGUAGCUGGUCUGAGAGGACGACCAGCCACACUGGGACUGAGACACGGCCCAGACUCCUACGGGAGGCAGCAGUGGGGAAUUUUGGACAAUGGGCGCAAGCCUGAUCCAGCCAUGCCGCGUGCGGGAAGAAGGCCU
RNAcentral lists this ribosomal RNA (387 nucleotides) under uncultured bacterium. Its description in RNAcentral is "bacterial SSU rRNA". It matches the Rfam family "Bacterial small subunit ribosomal RNA", at positions 29 to 417 of the family's 1533-position model. The record is from RNAcentral.